GACGAACGCUGUCGGCGCGCCUAACACAUGCAAGUCGAACGGAGUUGCUGAAGCUGAAUUUUUCGGAAGGACGCAUUAGUAACUUAGUGGCGGACGGGUGAGUAACGCGUGAGUAACCUGCCUUUCAGAGGGGGAUAACGUUUGGAAACGAACGCUAAUACCGCAUAACAUAACGAGGUCGCAUGGCUUUGUUAUCAAAGGAGCAAUCCGCUGGAAGAUGGACUCGCGUCCAAUUAGCUAGUUGGUGAGGUAACGGCUCACCAAGGCCAUGAUGCAUGGCCGACCUGAGAGGGUGAUCGGCCACACUGGGACUGAGACACGGCCCAGACUCCUACGGGAGGCAGCAGUAGGGAAUCUUCGGCAAUGGACGAAAGUCUGACCGAGCAACGCCGCGUGAGUGAAGAAGGUUUUCGGAUCGUAAAACUCUGUUGUUAGAGAAGAACAAGUAGGAGAGUAACUGCUCUUACCUUGACGGUAUCUAACCAGAAAGCCACGGCUAACUACGUGCCAGCAGCCGCGGUAAAAC
RNAcentral lists this ribosomal RNA (526 nucleotides) under uncultured bacterium. RNAcentral's name for it is "bacterial SSU rRNA". It matches the Rfam family "Bacterial small subunit ribosomal RNA", at positions 28 to 526 of the family's 1533-position model. The record is from RNAcentral.